RNAcentral lists this ribosomal RNA (484 nucleotides) under uncultured bacterium. RNAcentral's name for it is "partial 16S ribosomal RNA". It matches the Rfam family "Bacterial small subunit ribosomal RNA", at positions 29 to 507 of the family's 1533-position model. The record is from RNAcentral.
AAUGAACGCUGGCGGCAUGCCUAACACAUGCAAGUCGAGCGAACGCAUGGGGCUUGCUCCCGGAUGCAGCUGCCGACGGAUGGGUAAUGCCUAUGAAUCUGCCUUAUCUUGCGGGAUGACGUCCUAAAACGGGCGCGAAUAUCGCAUCCGUCCAUAUAUCGAAAGUGGGGGAUCUUCGGUCCUAACGCUAUCUGAUGAGCCUAAGUCGGAUUAGCUAGUUGGUGGGGUAAAUGGCUGCCGAGGCGACGAUGCGUAACUGGUAUGAGAGGAUGAUCAGUCACACUGGAACUGAGACACGGUCCAGACUCCUACGGGAGGCAGCAGUGGGGAAUCUUGCACAAUGGGCGAAAGCCUGAUCCAGCAAUGCCGCGUGAGUGAUGAAGGUCUUCGGAUUGUAAAGCACUUUAAGUUGGGAGGAAGGAAAGUAAGUUUAUCCCUGGCUGUUUUGACGGUACCAACAGAAUAAGCCCCGGCUAACUUCGUG